Molecule: unclassified non-coding RNA, 1284 nt
Filed under: Owenia fusiformis
Lineage: Eukaryota; Metazoa; Annelida; Polychaeta; Sabellida; Oweniidae
Description: misc RNA OFUS_LOCUS14076
Source: RNAcentral
AACAGGUUUUAAUUGCUAUUGAUCUGUAUAUUUACCCUCAGGAAGGAACGGACAGACAUUGAAAUGAACGUUGAAAAUUACUGUUCGGUAAUAUCGAGAUGACAGAAGGAUAUAUUUAAAUACUAAGUAAAUAAAAGGUAUUAACGUUUCUUUUCGUACACAAAAUCAUUGACGAAAUAUUUACAUUUGUGUUUUUUGCUUUACAAGCAAUGAAAGGAUCGAACAGAAGUCUAUUUUAAGUGCUCUUUUAAAUUCAAAAGUUUUACGUACAUCGAUAAACCUCAUAAUCAAAACAAGGACUCGAUCAUAGUUUGACAGUAAGCUGAUAUCAUAAAUAUGAGUGGUGAUAAUAUAUAUAAUGAACAUAAAAACAGUAAUCAGCAAAACGACAAUGAAAUCAAUAACCCACUGAAUAAAGAGGACAUCGUUAUGAAUUGUGAAACGGAAAAAUUUCACCUCAAGUCAGUAUCGAAUGAUGCUAACAUCUAUCCUACUCCAGAAACACUACAAAAUGUUAAUUUUGUGAAAUUUCCGAUUGUUCUUCACAAAGCUGAUACAAAAGAUGCCGAACGAAAAGGCUCAUGUAAGAACAUCACAGUGAAUAUUUUGGCAUUUUUGCUGGGACUAGCAGCAGGAGGAGUUGUUGGAAUGGCUCUAUUUGAUUCGUUUGAUAUAACGUCUUGGAUGAAACAGAACGACCGAUACAAUUCAAACACAGAUUGGUAUAGUCAGACGGGUAAAGAUGUUUCAUCGCUGUUCAAGUCGCUGAAUACAAUUGGUGAUAAAGAUCGUCCAGAAAAUAUUGCUUGUGUCAUUCUGAGUGACAGGGCUGAGUGGAUCAGGGAUAAUAUUAAGAUCUUCCAGACGUUCCACCCGUUUUGCUCCAGCGUCCAAGUGCGUCCAAAACACUCAAAAAGUUUGCUAUUUUCAGGAAUAGUCUCACAAUAUAUGAAGAUAUCCCAAAUAGAUGACUUAUCGUACCAGAAUGAUGAUGGCUUAAAGAUAAAUCCUCAAUGUGUUGUUUAUUUCAUGGAUGAAGAAGAAAAAAACACCAAUAUAAAAGUUCCUAUUCAUAUUCACAUAAUGGACAAACCUGCAAAAUCUCGAUAAACGUCUGGAAUAUAUAUAUGUAAAAACCUAAAUGCUCAUAAUGUUAACUCGAUCUGAACCAAAGAGUACCGAGUGUACCUUACUGAACUAGUUAGCGCAUUAUUAUGGAUAUGGCUGAGAACGCUCAUUAAUUCAAUUAAAAAUAUUUUUCAACUGAACUAAAACUUUUUGCUU